Molecule: ribosomal RNA, 529 nt
Filed under: uncultured bacterium
Lineage: Bacteria
Description: partial 16S ribosomal RNA
Rfam family: Bacterial small subunit ribosomal RNA
Source: RNAcentral
UAGGGAAUCUUCGGCAAUGGGGGCAACCCUGACCGAGCAACGCCGCGUGAGUGAAGAAGGUUUUCGGAUCGUAAAGCUCUGUUGUAAGUCAAGAACGGGUGUGAGAGUGGAAAGUUCACACUGUGACGGUAGCUUACCAGAAAGGGACGGCUAACUACGUGCCAGCAGCCGCGGUAAUACGUAGGUCCCGAGCGUUGUCCGGAUUUAUUGGGCGUAAAGCGAGCGCAGGCGGUUUGAUAAGUCUGAAGUUAAAGGCUGUGGCUCAACCAUAGUUCGCUUUGGAAACUGUCAAACUUGAGUGCAGAAGGGGAGAGUGGAAUUCCAUGUGUAGCGGUGAAAUGCGUAGAUAUAUGGAGGAACACCGGUGGCGAAAAGCGGCUCUCUGGUCUGUAACUGACGCUGAGGCUCGAAAGCGUGGGGAGCGAACAGGAUUAGAUACCCUGGUAGUCCACGCCGUAAACGAUGAGUGCUAGGUGUUGGAUCCUUUCCGGGAUUCAGUGCCGAAGCUAACGCAUUAAGCACUCCGCCU